UACAGAGGGUGCGAGCGUUAAUCGGAAUUACUGGGCGUAAAGCGUGCGUAGACGGUCAAGUAAGUCGGGUGUGAAAGCCCCGGGCUCAACCUGGGAAUUGCAUUCGAUACUGUCGAGCUAGAGUAUCGGAGAGGUUGGUGGAAUUCUCGGUGUAGAGGUGAAAUUCGUAGAUAUCGAGAGGAACACCGGUGGCGAAGGCGGGUCUCUGGGCCGAUACUGACGCUGAGGAGCGAAAGCGUGGGGAGCGAACAGG
This 253-nucleotide ribosomal RNA is filed under the name uncultured bacterium. RNAcentral describes it as "partial 16S ribosomal RNA". It matches the Rfam family "Bacterial small subunit ribosomal RNA", at positions 524 to 776 of the family's 1533-position model. The record is from RNAcentral.